RNAcentral lists this ribosomal RNA (713 nucleotides) under uncultured bacterium. Its description in RNAcentral is "bacterial SSU rRNA". It matches the Rfam family "Bacterial small subunit ribosomal RNA", at positions 94 to 803 of the family's 1533-position model. The record is from RNAcentral.
AGUGGCGGACGGGUGGGUAACGCGUAGGAAUCUACCUGAUAGUGGGGGAUAGCCCGAAGAAAUUCGGAUUAAUACCGCAUAAUCUAUUCGUAGUAAAGUGGGGGACUUUCGAGCCUCACGCUAUCAGAUGAGCCUGCGUAAGAUUAGCUAGUUGGUAGGGUAAAAGCCUACCAAGGCGACGAUCUUUAGCUGGUCUGAGAGGAUGAUCAGCCACAUCGGGACUGAGACACGGCCCGAACUCCUACGGGAGGCAGCAGUGGGGAAUAUUGGACAAUGGGGGCAACCCUGAUCCAGCAAUACCGCGUGUGUGAAGAAGGCCUGAGGGUUGUAAAGCACUUUCAAUUGUGAAGAAAAGCUAGUGGUUAAUAGCCAUUAGCCUUGACGUUAACUUUAGAAGAAACACCGGCUAACUCCGUGCCAGCAGCCGCGGUAAUACGGAGGGUGCAAGCGUUAAUCGGAAUUAUUGGGCGUAAAGCGUGCGUAGGCGGUUUAUUAAGUCAGAUGUGAAAGCCCCGGGCUUAACCUGGGAACUGCAUUUGAAACUGGUCAACUAGAGUAUGGUAGAGGAAAGUGGAAUUUCUGGUGUAGCGGUGAAAUGCGUAGAUAUCAGAAGGAACAUCAAUGGCGAAGGCAACUUUCUGGACCAAUACUGACGCUGAGGUACGAAAGCGUGGGUAGCAAACAGGAUUAGAUACCCUGGUAGUCCACGCCGA